Vitis vinifera (wine grape) is the source of this 1162-nucleotide long non-coding RNA. RefSeq lists it as uncharacterized. The record is from RefSeq and is a predicted model, not a curated record. Lineage: Eukaryota; Viridiplantae; Streptophyta; Magnoliopsida; Vitales; Vitaceae. The transcript is spliced from 5 exons.
GAUGCUGUGCACUAAACUAAUCAUUUUACUUGGAGUUGUACAUUCUAAGAGUUUGAGGAAAUACUGAGGUCUGAUAUGAUAACUCUCAAUCUUAAACGUUGUUUUGUGUUUGGAACGUUACUACACUUGAUACAUACCCUCACCUCACUUACAGAGCUUUGAAAUCGUGGCUGCCCUGAAUCGACAUCACUUACAUACCCUCAAAAACCUGCAGACACUUAACAAUCUGCAUCUGUUCACACUUAAGAGGAAAGAUGCCGAAAGCAAAGGUGAAGACUAACCCAAGAUUGCUCAUAUGCCACAAAUUGAUAUCAUACAUCCAUGAAGAUUGAACUGAUACACAAUGCCUUUCAGAUGAUAUGAUCCAAACUCAAAUUGAACACUACUCUUGUUUUGCAACAUUACUGCACUGGAAAGGCAACUUGAACUCACUUAUAGACCUACCUAUUGGUGACUGCAUUGAAUUGACAUCACCUUGGAAGAGAUGUGUUCCACAUGGAAAAUCUUUCAUUAUAUGCACCUACUUGCAAGAUACCAAAAGGAAACAGGUGAAUACUUGCCCAAGAAUACAGAGGGCCACACUUGGUGAAGGUUUCAUCAGUAAGGAGAACCAUUUCAAAGUUUGUAGAAGAGAAGAAAGAUUUGAUCCAAGAUAUUCCUAAAGAUUGGAAACUUUCAGAGCCACCCAAGAUCCCACAGCCUAUCUUAAUAAUUUGGGGAGACCAAGAUAAGGUAUUCCUAGUAGAACUAGCUCACAAAUUGAAAAGGCAUUUCAGGCGAGGAGGCCCAACUUGUGAUCAUAGAGCAUACUUUUAUUAUAGAGAAGCCCAAUGAAAUAUUUUAAGCACUUGAAAUCCUUUAUCAUUGAUUUGCUUCUACCUCCCAAGCAACACCUAGAACCACUCACACCAUGACGAAGUUAAAAGGAACUAAUGCAACAUUCUCAAUAUAUUAGAAUAUAUUGAAGGAAGGGUGGCCACAUAUGAAGACCCUAUUCCAAGGUCAAAUUUUAGAUUUUUGUGUUUUUCCUAUCACUAUUCCUAUACUAUUACCAGUGCACCUUAUUUGUCAAGAUGAUUAAAAGGGAAUUCCCUAGGAUAACUAGUGUCUCAAGUGAUCUUGAGGUUCAUAAAUUUUUGGUUUCCACAAGAUAGGUGCCAAC